UUAUGCCUACGGGGGGCAGCAGUGGGGGAUAUUGCACAAUGGGCGCAAGCCUGAUGCAGCGACGCCGCGUGAGCGAAGAAGUAUUUCGGUAUGUAAAGCUCUAUCAGCAGGGAAGAAAAUGACGGUACCUGACUAAGAAGCUCCGGCUAAAUACGUGCCAGCAGCCGCGGUAAUACGUAGGUGGCAAGCGUUGUCCGGAAUUACUGGGUGUAAAGGGAGCGCAGGCGGGAAGCCAAGUCAGCUGUGAAAACUACGGGCUUAACUUGUAGACUGCAGUUGAAACUGGUUUUCUUGAGUGAAGUAGG
This 305-nucleotide ribosomal RNA is filed under the name uncultured bacterium. Its description in RNAcentral is "bacterial SSU rRNA". It matches the Rfam family "Bacterial small subunit ribosomal RNA", at positions 333 to 655 of the family's 1533-position model. The record is from RNAcentral.